Molecule: long non-coding RNA, 598 nt
Organism: Vidua chalybeata
Lineage: Eukaryota; Metazoa; Chordata; Aves; Passeriformes; Viduidae
Exons: 3
Source: RefSeq, a predicted model, not a curated record
GGAAAACAGAGACUGCAGGAGAGCAGAGAGCAAGGGAAGGGAAAGUCCAGGGGAACCACUGGAUGGAUUUGGUGCUUCCUACACCUUCAAAAUCAGCCAGCCAGCACAAAAAGGCAGGUUAGAGCAGCUGCAGCAGUGGAGAAGAGCAGGACACCUGCUGCCAGCAGCCCAAAACCCCAUGGAGGGUAAAGCAGUAACUCAGGCUCACACAGAACCUGGCCAGCUCAAAUCUGAGGAGCACAAUCAGAGAACUGGACAAUUCCAACAAGGUCCAGCAGUGACCCCACACCAGGAGCUGACCCCACAGACACACCAGCCCUGCAGAGUCACAACUUCCAAAGCCCCGGACUUCCAACAAGUCCUGCCUGAAACUUCACAGUUCUGUGUAGCAAAUGGCAUCAGAAAGGUGAGCAAAUGCAGACACAGAGCUGCACAGGGGCAGAAACACUCUCAGUUGUGGUGUAUGACUGCUGUAGCAAAAGUUUUGACUCCAGUCUCUGUAAAUAGAGAUGUUUGGCCCAGUCAGCACUCGGAUUAUUUGCUGCCAGCACAACAGAGCACAUGCCUUUGUUUAGGAGGGGUUGAAUUUAGGCAACCA